CAAUAGCGUAUAUUAAAGUUGUUGCAGUUAAAAAGCUCGUAGUUGGAUUUCGGGGUGGCCUGGCUGGUCCGCCGCAAGGUGAGUACUGGUCAGCCGCCCUUCCUCUCGAAAGCCCCGACUGCUCUUUACUGCAGUGGUCGGGUAGUUCGGGACGUUUACUUUGAAAAAAUUAGAGUGUUCAAGGCAGGCUAUCGCCUGAAUACAUUAGCAUAGAAUAAUGGAAGAGGACCUCGGUCCUAUUUUGUUGGUUUCUAGGGCCGAAGUAAUGAUUAAGAGGGACAGUUGGGGGCAUUCGUAUUUAAUUGUCAGAGGUGAAAUUCUUGGAUUUAUGAAAGACGAACUAGUGCGAAAGCAUUUGCCAAGGAUGUUUUCAUUAA
This 377-nucleotide ribosomal RNA is filed under the name uncultured eukaryote. RNAcentral's name for it is "partial 18S ribosomal RNA". It matches the Rfam family "Eukaryotic small subunit ribosomal RNA", at positions 592 to 976 of the family's 1831-position model. The record is from RNAcentral.